CGCUGGCGGCGUGCCUAAUACAUGCAAGUCGAACGGUCUUUCUAUGGAAGCUUGCUUCCACUGAGAAGAUAGUGGCGGACGGGUGAGUAACACGUGGGUAACCUGCCCAUAAGAGGGGGAUAACAUCCGGAAACGGGUGCUAAUACCGCAUAGUUUUCUUGAUCGCAUGAUCGGGAAAGGAAAGACGGCCUUUGUGCUGUCGCUUAUGGAUGGACCCGCGGCGUAUUAGUUAGUUGGUGAGGUAAUGGCUCACCAAGACGAUGAUACGUAGCCGACCUGAGAGGGUGAUCGGCCACAUUGGGACUGAGACACGGCCCAAACUCCUACGGGAGGCAGCAGUAGGGAAUCUUCCGCAAUGGACGAAAGUCUGACGGAGCAACGCCGCGUGAGUGAAGAAAAGGUUUUCGGAUCGUAAAACUCUGUUGUCAGAGAAGAACAAGUUGGAGAGUAACUGCUCCAGCCUUGACGGUAUCUGACCAGAAAGCCACGGCUAACUACGUGCCAGCCGCCGC
This 512-nucleotide ribosomal RNA is filed under the name uncultured bacterium. RNAcentral's name for it is "bacterial SSU rRNA". It matches the Rfam family "Bacterial small subunit ribosomal RNA", at positions 34 to 518 of the family's 1533-position model. The record is from RNAcentral.